UACGUAGGUGGCAAGCGUUGUCCGGAUUUACUGGGCGUAAAGAGCGCGCAGGCGGUCGGAUUAGUCGCGUGUGAAAGCCCCCGGCUCAACUGGGGAGGGUCACGCGAUACUGUUCGACUCGAAGGCAGGAGAGGGAAGUGGAAUUCCCGGUGUAGUGGUGAAAUGCGUAGAUAUCGGGAGGAACACCAGUGGCGAAGGCGACUACCUGGCCUGUUCUUGACGCUGAGGCGCGAAAGCUAGGGGAGCAAACAGG
Molecule: ribosomal RNA, 253 nt
Filed under: uncultured bacterium
Lineage: Bacteria
Description: partial 16S ribosomal RNA
Rfam family: Bacterial small subunit ribosomal RNA
Source: RNAcentral